Chlorocebus sabaeus (green monkey) is the source of this 3105-nucleotide non-coding RNA. NCBI's taxonomy places the organism in Eukaryota, Metazoa, Chordata, Mammalia, Primates, Cercopithecidae. The record is from RefSeq and is a predicted model, not a curated record.
GGGCCAUUGUACUCCAGUCUGGGUGACAAAGUGAGACUCUGUCUCCAAAAAAAGAAAUACUUAAAUAUCUAUGUGCUAAGUAGAUUACUGCUUGGUAGUGAAAUUCUGAUAAUUUUCAGAAUUAGUUUCAGACAACUGUGUAGUAUAGUGUAAAAAAUAAGGCUUAGAAUUCACAAGUAAUUCACAUGAGUUCUGAGGUGAAAUUUGACCAAAAGCUAAAGAAUUACUCUGAGUCUACCUUUGGGCAAAUAUAUGAUUCGGUGGUAUAUCUAGACAUACAAAAGUUCUAAUUGGAUUCAUAGAAAACCAGUUUAAGCUGUGGCUUUGUACAACUUGAAACAUAAAAGAUAAUGCUUUGGAUUUGAAAUUAUUGACAUAUCUGUAUUAUCCAGUAUAGACCUGAAGGAACAUUUCAGGAGAAAACAAUGCAUAAAGAAUAGGAAACUACUGGGACUAUAAUAACAAUUUGUUUGAGUGUUUUAAAAAGUAGAAAUUAUUUUUACAAAUAGACCUCUUUGAGUCUGUUUGUGGUAGCCAUGCUUAUGCAACAUAAGUACCAAAUAAUAAUGAUGUAGUCCAAGGUCACAACUGUGGAAAGACACAGGAAGUGACUGACCUCUUAGAUCCAAGCACCUGCUGCACAGUGGUAACAGAAAUGAGAUGUCAGUAGACAAGUCGACUUUAUCUAAUAUGUCCAUAGACCAAAAAAAAAAAAAAAAAAAGACUUUCUAAUACUUGUCUGCUUUCAUUUAAACAUAACGUAAGUUUUCCUUAGUACUUUUUCAUUUUAUUCAAGUACUUUUUCUGUCAGCAUUUUAUCAAAAACAUUUUGAUUAUUUUAAGCCCCUGUUUACCUAAAUAAAGCAGCUUCUACAAUGUUCUGAGUAUACUUUAUAUGACUUAUUCUUAACAUUCUCUUCAUGCCAUGCAUCAUUUUUAACACUAAAUAAUUCUAUAAUCAUGAAUAUUUUCAAUGUUUAAUACAGUAUGUAUUUGCAGCAGCACUCCUCUGAAGGGGGCACCGACGCAGGGAGUCUGUCCCUUGCAGACCUCUGACCCGGCGACAGAUGAAUAAAGUACAUUGACACACAGAUAUUCUGCUCUGUCAGUCCAGCUGAGGGUGUCCAAGUGGCUUACAGACUCCCUGCUGAGUUCUGUAAACAGUUGCCACUAUGGCCCUGAUCAGCUAGUCAGACUCACAAUUAUUCAGUAAGAUUAAUUAACAAAAGCUUGGGUCAACACCAUUAGAGGGUAAUUGACAUUGUGGACUUCCCGAGUAAAAAGCCCUUAAGCACCUGUGGUACAUCAAAGGUUAGUCUUAAGAUUAUAUGAGUAAAUUAGCUAGCUAGGUAAACUACUCUGCCUUCCUUUAUGACUACUUUAAUUUGUUUAACUAAAGGUGAAGAUCAGGUUGCCUUCAACCAUAUCUAUUACCAAAAUUAUGCAAACUUCUCAGUCUUCCAAGCAGAUUUGUGUCUAUCUCUAUAACUAUCUCUAAUAUUUUUCCCACCAGCCUGAUUGAAUUCCAACUUGUGUUAUGGCAGGUAGCAAGUGUAUUAUAUUUUGUUUGAUGUGCCUUCUUGGUUUUUGGUGAGGAAGAUAAAGUAAGAUAUUUUUAAGUGAGUUGCUUCUUGAAAUAUGCAGAUAAGUGUAUAUUUUUGUCAAUAUUAUUUAUUUUUUCAUGCUCAGUAACUGAGUCAAUAGCUGCAUGAAGAUAACAGGUAAGUUUUGAUCUAGAUAGCAUAUGUGAGGUUUUCUAUCAAAAUGUUGUGAUUUUCAAUAUGUGCCUAUCCUUAAAUCAAAUUGCCUUUGAAGCCAGAGAUUGAGUUUAAAAAUAUUUUAAUUAGGAAAUUUUAUGCCUCUUUUGAUUUUAAAAUUGAAAUUAUCUAUUGAUACUACUUUUAACAGAGUCUCUUUGAGAGUUCUACAAAGAUUCAAGUGUGUACACCUGAGUCUAUUUAUCAAAGUGUAACGAAGCAUAUAAAUAGAGAAGUAGAAGAGCCUCCUGAGAAGUCAUCUGCCUUCAAGCCUGCCACUGAAAUACAAAACUCUUUUCCAAAUGAAGCCUUCGAAUGCAAGAAGGAACAACUUUUGACAGCAGAUCAGAUGAUCCCAUCAGAAUCCAAACAAAAGGACAAUGAAGAAAAUUCUUGGGAUCUAGAGGUACUAUGUAUUAUCAGUGUUUUCUUAAUAUUAGUAUUGCAUGAUAUGAAAACACAAAAUCAGAGGCUUAGACUUUAUUUUCUCACUUCUGCAUAUGUCAUCCCCAAAUUAUUUUUGGUAUUUUUCAGAAUACGCUUCAUAGAGAAUCUAUGUGCUAAGUAGGUUACUACUUCAUAGUGAAAUUCUGCUAAUUUGUAGGAUUAAUUUAAGAAGCUAGUGUGGUAUAGUAUAAAAAAUAAGGCUUAGAAGUCACUAGCAAUUCACAUGGGAUCUGAAGUACGUUUGUCUAAAAGCGAAAGAAUUAUACUGAGUCCAGUUAUGGGCAAAUAUAUGAUUCUGUGAUUUAUCUAGAUGUACAAAAGUUCUAAUUGGAUUCAUAGACAGUUUAAACUGCAGUAUUGUAAAAGCUGGGACCUGAAAAGUUAAUGGCUGGGACUUUAACAUAUUGACAUAUCUUUAUUGUUCAGUAUAGAGCUGAGGGAACAUUUCAGGAAAAAGACAAGUCUGAGGAAUAGGAAACCUGGUGGGACUAUAAUAACAAGAGUAUUAGUUGACUAGUCUUUUAAAAAAUAUAAAUGAUUUUCACAAAUAGAACUCCUUGAGUCCCUUUGUGGCAGUCAAGCUGCAGCAGCGUGAGCGUCAAAUAAUAGUGAUGUAUUUUAAGGUCACAGCUGUGGAAAGACAUAGAAAGUAUCUGACCUCUUACAAAUAAGCAGCUGCUGCCUGGUGGUAACACCAAAGGGUGGAAGUCAACAGACAGGUAGAUUUUAUCUGAUUUAUCAUUAGACAAAAAAACUUUAACAUUUGUUUCUUUCAUUUAAACAUAACAUAAUUUUUUUCUUACUGCAUUUACAUUCUAUUCAGGCACUUUUUUUGUCAGCAUAGAUAUGUCAAAAACAUGUUGCUGAAUUUAGGCCCCUGUUUACCAAAAUAAAGCAGCUU